Molecule: ribosomal RNA, 2908 nt
Filed under: Klebsiella sp. PL-2018
Lineage: Bacteria; Pseudomonadati; Pseudomonadota; Gammaproteobacteria; Enterobacterales; Enterobacteriaceae
Description: 23S ribosomal RNA
Rfam family: Bacterial large subunit ribosomal RNA
Source: RNAcentral
GGUUAAGCGACUAAGCGUACACGGUGGAUGCCCUGGCAGUCAGAGGCGAUGAAGGACGUGCUAAUCUGCGAAAAGCGUCGGUAAGGUGAUAUGAACCGUUACAGCCGGCGAUGUCCGAAUGGGGAAACCCAGUGCAAUUCGUUGCACUAUCGUUUGAUGAAUACAUAGUCAAACGAGGCGAACCGGGGGAACUGAAACAUCUAAGUACCCCGAGGAAAAGAAAUCAACCGAGAUUCCCCCAGUAGCGGCGAGCGAACGGGGAGCAGCCCGGAGUCUGAAUCAGCUUGUGUGUUAGUGGAAGCGUCUGGAAAGUCGCAGGGUACAGGGUGAUACUCCCGUACACUAAAACGCACAGGUUGUGAACUCGAAGAGUAGGGCGGGACACGUGGUAUCCUGUCUGAAUAUGGGGGGACCAUCCUCCAAGGCUAAAUACUCCUGACUGACCGAUAGUGAACCAGUACCGUGAGGGAAAGGCGAAAAGAACCCCGGCGAGGGGAGUGAAAAAGAACCUGAAACCGUGUACGUACAAGCAGUAGGAGCCCACUAGUUGGGUGACUGCGUACCUUUUGUAUAAUGGGUCAGCGACUUAUAUUCUGUAGCAAGGUUAACCGUAUAGGGGAGCCGCAGGGAAACCGAGUCUUAACUGGGCGUUAAGUUGCAGGGUAUAGACCCGAAACCCGGUGAUCUAGCCAUGGGCAGGUUGAAGGUUGGGUAACACUAACUGGAGGACCGAACCGACUAAUGUUGAAAAAUUAGCGGAUGACUUGUGGCUGGGGGUGAAAGGCCAAUCAAACCGGGAGAUAGCUGGUUCUCCCCGAAAGCUAUUUAGGUAGCGCCUCGUGAACUCAUCUUCGGGGGUAGAGCACUGUUUCGGCUAGGGGGUCAUCCCGACUUACCAACCCGAUGCAAACUACGAAUACCGAAGAAUGUUAUCACGGGAGACACACGGCGGGUGCUAACGUCCGUCGUGAAGAGGGAAACAACCCAGACCGCCAGCUAAGGUCCCAAAGUCAUGGUUAAGUGGGAAACGAUGUGGGAAGGCCCAGACAGCCAGGAUGUUGGCUUAGAAGCAGCCAUCAUUUAAAGAAAGCGUAAUAGCUCACUGGUCGAGUCGGCCUGCGCGGAAGAUGUAACGGGGCUAAACCAUGCACCGAAGCUGCGGCAGCGACACUAUGUGUUGUUGGGUAGGGGAGCGUUCUGUAAGCCGUUGAAGGUGGCCUGUGAGGGUUGCUGGAGGUAUCAGAAGUGCGAAUGCUGACAUAAGUAACGAUAAUGCGGGUGAAAAACCCGCACGCCGGAAGACCAAGGGUUCCUGUCCAACGUUAAUCGGGGCAGGGUGAGUCGACCCCUAAGGCGAGGCCGAAAGGCGUAGUCGAUGGGAAACAGGUUAAUAUUCCUGUACUCGGUGUUACUGCGAAGGGGGGACGGAGAAGGCUAUGUUGGCCGGGCGACGGUUGUCCCGGUUUAAGCAUGUAGGCGGAUGUUCCAGGUAAAUCCGGAACGUUACUAACGCUGAGGUGUGAUGACGAGGCACUACGGUGCUGAAGUGACAAAUGCCCUGCUUCCAGGAAAAGCCUCUAAGCAUCAGGUAACAUCAAAUCGUACCCCAAACCGACACAGGUGGUCAGGUAGAGAAUACCAAGGCGCUUGAGAGAACUCGGGUGAAGGAACUAGGCAAAAUGGUGCCGUAACUUCGGGAGAAGGCACGCUGAUGGUAAGUGAAGCGACUUGCUCGUGGAGCUGAAAUCAGUCGAAGAUACCAGCUGGCUGCAACUGUUUAUUAAAAACACAGCACUGUGCAAACACGAAAGUGGACGUAUACGGUGUGACGCCUGCCCGGUGCCGGAAGGUUAAUUGAUGGGGUUAUCCGUAAGGAGAAGCUCUUGAUCGAAGCCCCGGUAAACGGCGGCCGUAACUAUAACGGUCCUAAGGUAGCGAAAUUCCUUGUCGGGUAAGUUCCGACCUGCACGAAUGGCGUAAUGAUGGCCAGGCUGUCUCCACCCGAGACUCAGUGAAAUUGAACUCGCUGUGAAGAUGCAGUGUACCCGCGGCAAGACGGAAAGACCCCGUGAACCUUUACUAUAGCUUGACACUGAACACUGGUCCUUGAUGUGUAGGAUAGGUGGGAGGCUUUGAAGUGUGGACGCCAGUCUGCAUGGAGCCAUCCUUGAAAUACCACCCUUUAAUGGCUGGUGUUCUAACGUGGGCCCCUGAUCGGGGUUGCGGACAGUGUCUGGUGGGUAGUUUGACUGGGGCGGUCUCCUCCUAAAGAGUAACGGAGGAGCACGAAGGUCAGCUAAUCCUGGUCGGACAUCAGGAGGUUAGUGCAAUGGCAUAAGCUGGCUUGACUGCGAGCGUGACGGCGCGAGCAGGUGCGAAAGCAGGUCAUAGUGAUCCGGUGGUUCUGAAUGGAAGGGCCAUCGCUCAACGGAUAAAAGGUACUCCGGGGAUAACAGGCUGAUACCGCCCAAGAGUUCAUAUCGACGGCGGUGUUUGGCACCUCGAUGUCGGCUCAUCACAUCCUGGGGCUGAAGUAGGUCCCAAGGGUAUGGCUGUUCGCCAUUUAAAGUGGUACGCGAGCUGGGUUUAGAACGUCGUGAGACAGUUCGGUCCCUAUCUGCCGUGGGCGCUGGAGAAUUGAGGGGGGCUGCUCCUAGUACGAGAGGACCGGAGUGGACGCAUCACUGGUGUUCGGGUUGUCAUGCCAAUGGCAUUGCCCGGUAGCUAAAUGCGGAAGAGAUAAGUGCUGAAAGCAUCUAAGCACGAAACUUGCCCCGAGAUGAGUUCUCCCUGACCCUUUAAGGGUCCUGAAGGAACGUUGAAGACGACGACGUUGAUAGGCCGGGUGUGUAAGCGCAGCGAUGCGUUGAGCUAACCGGUACUAAUGAACCGUGAGGCUUAACCUUAC